UACGGGGGGAGCAAGCGUUGUUCGGAUUUACUGGGCGUAAAGGGCGCGUAGGCGGCCACCGCAAGUCGACUGUGAAAUCUCCGGGCUUAACCCGGAAAGGUCAGCCGAUACUGCGGGGCUAGAGUGCAGAAGGGGCAACUGGAAUUCUCGGUGUAGCGGUGAAAUGCGUAGAUAUCGAGAGGAACACCUGCGGCGAAGGCGGUGGUCUGGGCCGGCACUGACGCUGAGGAGCGAAAGCGUGGGGAGCGAACAGG
RNAcentral lists this ribosomal RNA (254 nucleotides) under uncultured bacterium. Its description in RNAcentral is "partial 16S ribosomal RNA". It matches the Rfam family "Bacterial small subunit ribosomal RNA", at positions 524 to 776 of the family's 1533-position model. The record is from RNAcentral.